Molecule: unclassified non-coding RNA, 375 nt
Filed under: plant metagenome
Description: partial contains 5.8S ribosomal RNA, internal transcribed spacer 2, and large subunit ribosomal RNA
Rfam family: 5.8S ribosomal RNA (bases 1-102)
Source: RNAcentral
AAACUGCGAUAAGUAGUGUGAAUUGCAUUUAGUGAAUCAUCGAAUCUUUGAACGCACCUUGCGCUCCUUGGUAUUCCUUGGAGCAUGCCUGUUUGAGUAUCAUGAAAUCUUCAAAGUAAAUCUUUUGUUAACUCAAUUGGUUUCUACUUUGGUAUUGGAGGUCUUUGCAGCUUCACACCUGCUCCUCUUUGUUCAUUAGCUGGAUCUCAGUGUUAUGCUUGGUUCCACUCGGCGUGAUAAGUUAUCUAUCGCUGAGGACACUGUAAAAGGUGGCCAAGGUAAAUGCAGAUGAACCGCUUCUAAUAGUCCAUUGACUUGGACAAUACUUUUAUGAUCUGAUCUCAAAUCAGGUAGGACUACCCGCUGAACUUAAGC